UACGUAGGGGGCAAGCGUUGUCCGGAUUUACUGGGCGUAAAGAGCGCGUAGGCGGCGAUUUAAGCGUGGCUUGAAAGCCCCCGGCUCAAUCGGGGAGGGUGGCUGCGAACUGGAUCUCUUGAGGGCGAUAGAGGAGAGCGGAAUUCCUGGUGUAGCGGUGAAAUGCGUAGAUAUCAGGAGGAACACCGGUGGUGUAGACGGCUUUCUGGACCGUAACUGACGCUGAGACACGAAAGCGUGGGUAGCAAACAGG
This 253-nucleotide ribosomal RNA is filed under the name uncultured bacterium. RNAcentral's name for it is "partial 16S ribosomal RNA". It matches the Rfam family "Bacterial small subunit ribosomal RNA", at positions 524 to 776 of the family's 1533-position model. The record is from RNAcentral.